Molecule: ribosomal RNA, 466 nt
Filed under: uncultured bacterium
Lineage: Bacteria
Description: partial 16S ribosomal RNA
Rfam family: Bacterial small subunit ribosomal RNA
Source: RNAcentral
GACGAACGCUGGCGGCGUGCUUAACACAUGCAAGUCGAACGGAAAGGCCAGUGCUUGCACUGGUACUCGAGUGGCGAAUGGGUGAGUAACACGUGGGUGAUCUGCCUUGCACUCUGGGAUAAGCUUGGGAAACUGGGUCUAAUACCGGAUAUGAACUGCCUUUAGUGUGGUGGUUGGAAAGUUUUUUCGGUGCAAGAUGAGCUCGCGGCCUAUCAGCUUGUUGGUGGGGUAAUGGCCUACCAAGGCGUCGACGGGUAGCCGGCCUGAGAGGGUGUACGGCCACAUUGGGACUGAGAUACGGCCCAGACUCCUACGGGAGGCAGCAGUGGGGAAUAUUGCACAAUGGGCGGAAGCCUGAUGCAGCGACGCCGCGUGGGGGAUGACGGCCUUCGGGUUGUAAACUCCUUUCGACAGGGACGAAGCGUAAGUGACGGUACCUGUAUAAGAAGCACCGGCUAACUACGUG